This 331-nucleotide ribosomal RNA is filed under the name uncultured Pseudomonadota bacterium. Its description in RNAcentral is "bacterial SSU rRNA". It matches the Rfam family "Bacterial small subunit ribosomal RNA", at positions 30 to 351 of the family's 1533-position model. The record is from RNAcentral. Lineage: Bacteria; Pseudomonadati; Pseudomonadota.
AUUGAACGCUGGCGGCAUGCCUAACACAUGCAAGUCGAACGGUAACAGGUCCCGUAGCAAUACGGGAUGCUGACGAGUGGCGGACGGGUGAGUAAUGCGUAGGAAUUUACCUCAAAGCGGGGGAUAGCCCGGAGAAAUCCGGAUUAAUACCGCAUGUGCUCUACGGAGGAAAGCGGGCCUCUACUUGUAAGCUCGCACUUUGAGAUAAGCCUACGUCGGAUUAGCUAGUUGGUAGGGUAAAGGCCUACCAAGGCGACGAUCCGUAGCUGGUUUGAGAGGAUGAUCAGCCACACUGGGACUGAGACACGGCCCAGACUCCUACGGGAGGCUG